This 488-nucleotide ribosomal RNA is filed under the name uncultured bacterium. RNAcentral describes it as "bacterial SSU rRNA". It matches the Rfam family "Bacterial small subunit ribosomal RNA", at positions 8 to 518 of the family's 1533-position model. The record is from RNAcentral.
AGAGUUGAUCAUGGCUCAAGACGAACGCUGGCGGCGUGCUUCAUACAUGCAAGUCGAACGAUAAGGUCUCUUCGGAGAUACAUAAGUGGCGGACGGGUGAGUAAUAUGUAGAGAAUCUGCCCUAGAGAGGGGGACAACAGAGGGAAACUUCUGCUAAUACCCCAUAUGAGCGUAGUUGAAAUGCUAUUCUUGAAAACUCCGGUGCUCUGGGAUGAGUCUGCAUCUGAUUAGCUAGUUGGGGGUGUAAUGGACCACCAAGGCGACGAUCAGUAGCUGGUUUGAGAGGAUGAUCAGCCACAAUGGGACUGAGACACGGCCCAUACUCCUACGGGAGGCAGCAGUAGGGAAUUUUGCGCAAUGGGGGAAACCCUGACGCAGCAACGCCGCGUGACCGAUGAAGCCCUUCGGGGUGUAAAGGUCUGUCAGUGGGGACGAAACUUGACGGUACCCACAGAGGAAGCAUCGGCUAACUCCGUGCCAGCCGCCGC